CAGCAGCCGCGGGAAUACAGAGGGUGCGAGCGUUAAUCGGAUUUACUGGGCGUAAAGCGUGCGUAGGCGGCUUUUUAAGUCGGAUGCGAAAUCCCUGAGCUUAACUUAGGAAUUGCAUUCGAUACUGGGAAGCUAGAGUAUGGGAGAGGAUGGUAGAAUUCCAGGUGUAGCGGUGAAAUGCGUAGAGAUCUGGAGGAAUACCGAUGGCGAAGGCAGCCAUCUGGCCUAAUACUGACGCUGAGGUACGAAAGCAUGGGGAGCAAACAGGAUUAGAUACCCCCGUAGUCCCUGUCUCUUAUAC
This 301-nucleotide ribosomal RNA is filed under the name uncultured bacterium. RNAcentral describes it as "partial 16S ribosomal RNA". It matches the Rfam family "Bacterial small subunit ribosomal RNA", at positions 509 to 807 of the family's 1533-position model. The record is from RNAcentral.